RNAcentral lists this ribosomal RNA (627 nucleotides) under uncultured Russulaceae. RNAcentral's name for it is "LSU rRNA". It matches the Rfam family "Eukaryotic large subunit ribosomal RNA", at positions 47 to 649 of the family's 3401-position model. Lineage: Eukaryota; Fungi; Basidiomycota; Agaricomycetes; Russulales; Russulaceae. The record is from RNAcentral.
UAAGCGGAGGAAAAGAAACUAACAAGGAUUCCCCUAGUAACUGCGAGUGAAGCGGGAAAAGCUCAAAUUUAAAAUCUGGCGGUCUUUGNCCGUCCGAGUUGUAAUUUAGAGAAGCGUCUUCCGCGCUGGACCGUGCACAAGUCUCCUGGAAUGGAGCGUCAUAGAGGGUGAGAAUCCCGUCUUUGGCACGGAUGCCUGGUGCUUCUGUGAUGCGCUCUCGAAGAGUCGAGUUGUUUGGGAAUGCAGCUCAAAAUGGGUGGUGAACUCCAUCUAAAGCUAAAUAUUGGCGAGAGACCGAUAGCGAACAAGUACCGUGAGGGAAAGAUGAAAAGCACUUUGGAAAGAGAGUGAAACAGUACGUGAAAUUGUUGAAAGGGAAACGCUCGAAGUCAGUCGCGUCGACCGAGACUCAGCCUUGCCUUGGCUUGGUGUACUUCUCGGCCCGACGGGUCAGCACCAAUUUUGCCCCUCGGAUAAUGGCAAGGGAAAGGUGGCACCUUUACGGGUGUGUUAUAGUCUCCUGUCGAAUGCGAGGGGUGGGAUUGAGGAACUCAGCGCGCACCUCAGUGUCGGGGCUUCGGCCCACGUCACGCGCUUAGGAUGCUGGCGUAAUGGCUUUAAGCAACC